RNAcentral lists this ribosomal RNA (301 nucleotides) under uncultured bacterium. RNAcentral's name for it is "partial 16S ribosomal RNA". It matches the Rfam family "Bacterial small subunit ribosomal RNA", at positions 509 to 809 of the family's 1533-position model. The record is from RNAcentral.
CAGCCGCCACGGGAAUACAGAGGGUGCGAGCGUUAAUCGGAUUUACUGGGCGUAAAGCGUGCGUAGGCGGCUUUUUAAGUCGGAUGUGAAAUCCCUGAGCUUAACUUAGGAAUUGCAUUCGAUACUGGGAAGCUAGAGUAUGGGAGAGGAUGGUAGAAUUCCAGGUGUAGCGGUGAAAUGCGUAGAGAUCUGGAGGAAUACCGAUGGCGAAGGCAGCCAUCUGGCCUAAUACUGACGCUGAGGUACGAAAGCAUGGGGAGCAAACAGGAUUAGAUACCCGAGUAGUCCCUGUCUCUUAUAA